Molecule: long non-coding RNA, 3389 nt
Filed under: Canis lupus familiaris (dog)
Lineage: Eukaryota; Metazoa; Chordata; Mammalia; Carnivora; Canidae
Description: lncRNA (ENSCAFG00040021288.1)
Source: RNAcentral
AUGGCAGGGUCCCUGCUGUGCUGUAAGAGAGACCAGAGACUAUUUACCAUGACGUCUCUUUUCUCUAUUCCCAAUCAUAAAUUGGAGCCCGUGUCAGAAACUCAGAGCCUCUCACAUCUUAUGUUUGUGUGGGAGUGGAGUCUGCUUGCCAGGAAUGGAGAAAGCUCUGCCUGUCAGGCAAUGAUAUUAGGCACCAGAAGCAACCAUGGAAUGUAUGAAGUGCAGGAUUCUGUGAGAUUUGACUACAAAACAGUGAAACUGGUUUUGCAAAGCAUGGCAUGAAAACCAAUCUUGUUAAUUUAAUCUAUCCAUUUAUUCAUUCAUGUAUUGAUCCUUCAAUGUACAUGUACUGAGAGGCCAUUUCUCUUGAUUCAAACUUACUACAAUCUCUGUCUUUACCUUCCCCACCCCACCCUAUUUACUCCCUUCAGUAAGUUUAUGCACCAGAGUUUGAGUCUCAGUUUUUAAUCAGUUUUUUUCAAAUUGAAGUAUAAUUUACAUACAGUGUAUAGAUUUUAAAUAUAGGUUUGAACUGUUUUGACAAAUUGAUAUCAAAGAAGCAGAACAUUUCUAUAAUUUAAAUUUUUAAUUACAGUUAUUAUAGUAUUAGUAUGAAGAAGCACUUUUGAAUUAACAUCUACCAGGAUGCCUGGGUGGCUCAGCAGUUGAGUGCACCUGCCUUCAGCUCAGGGCGUGAUCCUGGAGUCCCAGGAUCGAGUCCCACAUCAGGCUCCCUGCAUGGAGCCUGCUUCUCCCUCUGCCUGUGUCUCUGCCUCUCUCUCUGUGUCUCUCAUGAAUAAAUAAAUAAAAUCUUUAAAAAAAUGAAUUAACAUCUACCUGGUCAUAUUUAUAGGCCUCUUAAAUAGUGUAUGAGGUAUGGCUGAAGAGAGAAUUACUGAACUAGAAGACAGAUUUGAAAAAUUACCUAGAGGGCACCUGGGUGGCUCAGUUGAUUAAGCGUCUGCCUUUUGCUCAGGUCAUGAUCACGGAGUUCUAGAAUCAAGUCCCACAUCGGGUUCCCUGCUCAGUGGGAGUCUGCUUCUCCCUCUGCCUCUCACCCCACUCAUGCUCUCUCUCUCCCUUUCUCUCUCAUUCACUCUCUCUGUGUCUCUCUAAUAAACAAAUAAAAUCUUUAAAAAAGAAAAAUUACCUAGAGUGUAGCAUAUAUACACAAAGGAAUGGACAAUAGGGAAGAGAGAUUAUGAAAUGCUGAGGCUGUGUAUCCAGAAUAUACAAAAAACACUUAAAAGUCAAUAAUGAGAAGACAGAUAACUCAAUAUAAAAAUGGGCAAAGGAUUUCAAAAGAUAUUUCCCUAAAGAAAAUAUAUAAAUGGCCCAUAAGGCACAUAAAAAAUGCCCAGCCUCAACUAGCAUUAGGGAAAUGCAAAUUAAAAUCAAACUAAGAUAUAAUUUCCCACAUAUUAGGACAGCUAUAAGAAGAUGGAAAGAGGGAUCCCUGGGUGGCGCAGCGGUUUGGCGCCUGCCUUUGGCCCAGGGCGCGAUCCUGGAGACCCGGGAUCGAAUCCCACGUCGGGCUCCUGGUGCAUGGAGCCUGCUUCUCCCUCUGCCUGUGUCUCUGCCUCUCUCUCUCUAUCUCUCUCUCUCUCUGUGACUAUCAUAAAUAAAUAAAAAUUAAAAAAAAAAAAAAGAAGAAGAUGGAAAGAGUAAGUAUUGGGAAGAAUGUUGAGACACUGGAAUACUCAUGCCAAAAUGGUAUAGCCACUGUGAAGAAAAAGUUGGGCAGUUUUUCAAAAAGUUAAACAUAGAGUUACCAUAUGACCUUCCAUAUAUACUCCUAGAUAAACACCCAAAAUAAUGAAAAUAUAUGGAUAAGUCCUCACAAAAACUUGUAUACGAAUGUUUAUAGCAGCAUUAUUCAUAAAAUCCCCUAAAUGGAAACAACACCAAUGCCCAUCCCUGAUGAAUGGAUAAAUAAAAUAUAGUAUAUCCAUACAAUAGAAUAUUAUUCAGUCAUAAAAAGGCCGGAAGUACUUAUCCAUGCUACAACAUGGAUAAACCUAAAGAACAGUAUGCUAAGUGAAAGAAGCCAGUCACAAAAGACUACAUAUUGUAUAAUUUUAUUUAUAUUAAAACCCAGAAAGGCAAAGCUAUUAAACAAGUAGAUUAAUGGUUGCUUAUGGCUCUGCUGGAAGAGGAGAAUAAGGAGAAAUGGGCAGUGACUGUGAAUGAGUACAAGAGUACUUUUUGGGAUGAGGCAUAGGGUCUAAAACUGGAUUGUGGUACCAGUUGUACAACUCUGGGAAUAUACUAAAACUUACUGAAUUAUAAAUUUUAAAUGGGUGAAUCUUACAUAUCUCAAUAAAGGUGUUAAAAUAUGAUAGGCAAAACAUUAGAAGGAAUCUAGGAAAGAGUUUGGGGCUUUUUUUGCCUCAAAGUAAGAAAGGAUAUCUUAAGAUUCCCAGAGUGUAAAGCAUAGAGGAAAUGAUUGAGAAAAUUAACUACCGUGAUGAAUCUAGCUGCCUUUAAUUAAGAACUAUGUGUCAAAAGAUACCAUAAAGGAAGAAAGAGACAAGCUGUGGUCUCAGGGAAUGUAUUUGCAAUAUAUGUUCUGUAUACUAAGUCUAUGGCAGGUUAAAAUGUGUAACCACUUUUGAAAAGAAUUUGGUAUUUACAGAAAUUCUGACACCAUCCUUCCUAGGGCUGGAAUUGAUUUUGUAUAUCCAAAUUGUGUCCCUGCCACUGAGUCACACCUGCGGUAUGUGGCAGGAUGGUGCUGGGGGUGUAGUAACCUAGGUGUUCCAUCUAGGUGACUAAGCUUGUGAAAGAAGCUUUUCUCAACCAUGAGGUUCUCCUGACAAGCUGAAGGCCAUUGCCACCAGCCUGAGCAUGCCUCUUGGAAGGGAGUAGGAGGACUCUAACAGGAUGCUCACUGACAGCCCCAGCGUAAUAUGCUCCAGAAUGUAUUAACAGUGUACCUUUAAGGGUGCCUGGGUGGCUCAGUUGGUUAAGCUUCUGACUCUUGAUUUUAGCUCAGGUCUUGAUCUCAGGGUUGAACUCACAACCCUGAGAUCAAGCCCCAUGUUGGACUCCAUGCUAGGCAUGGUGCCUAUUGAAAAAAAAAAAAAAAAAAAACCUAAAAAACAAUAUAUUCUUUCAGCUUAUAGAAGCAAAAUGACAUUUGCAUAAGAUUUAUGUAUUGGAGUGCUUAUUUUCACUGAGCCUCUGCCAUUUUUGAUAGCUAUACCAUCUCAUAUUCCCACUAGUACUAUAAAACUGUCCUGGUUGCUUCACAUCCUUGCCAAGACUUGGCAUUGUCCACGCUUGACAUUUGUGCCAAUCUGUGCAAGUACUUAAACAUAUAAUAUGCUGACUCCAUGGAGAUGUGUCCUGGUAGACCAGAAUAUUCACAGCAGCACUGCUUGAGAGCA